UCAGUAAAAAGGCAAACUUAUUGAAAAAUAAGGACGCAAAGCAACAGAUCUAAAGCCCUGUGUGCAAGGAUGGCUGUGCUGCCUGA
This 86-nucleotide non-coding RNA is filed under the name Sediminibacillus albus. RNAcentral describes it as "c-di-GMP-I riboswitch aptamer". It matches the Rfam family "c-di-GMP-I riboswitch aptamer". From Rfam's summary of the family: GEMM was predicted in a large-scale screen for bacterial structured RNA regulatory elements. Genes associated with GEMM are involved in a diverse array of functions, including chemotaxis regulation, signal transduction, secretion and chitin. Lineage: Bacteria; Bacillati; Bacillota; Bacilli; Caryophanales; Bacillaceae. The record is from Rfam by way of RNAcentral.